UUGACGGCGGGGUAACGGCCCACCGUGGCAUCGAUCGGUAGGGGUUCUGAGAGGAAGGUCCCCCACAUUGGAACUGAGACACGGUCCAAACUCCUACGGGAGGCAGCAGUGAGGAAUAUUGGUCAAUGGGCGGAAGCCUGAACCAGCCAAGUAGCGUGAAGGACGACUGCCCUAUGGGUUGUAAACUUCUUUUAUGCGGGGAUAAAGUUCGCCACGUGUGGCGUUCUGCAGGUACCGCAUGAAUAAGGACCGGCUAAUUCCGUGCCAGCAGCCGCGGUAAUACGGAAGGUCCAGGCGCUAUCCGGAUUCAUUGGGUUUAAAGGGAGCGUAGGCCGCCUUUUAAGCGUGUUGUGAAAUGUAGGGGCUCAACCCCUGCACUGCAGCGCGAACUGGAGGGCUUGAGUACACACAAAGUAGGCGGAAUUCAUGGUGUAGCGGUGAAAUGCUUAGAUAUCAUGAAGAACCCCGAUUGCGAAGGCAGCUUACUGGAGUGUAACUGACGCUGAAGCUCGAAAGCGCGGGUAUCGAACAGGAUUAGAUACCCUGGUAGUCCGCGCGGUAAACGAUGGAUGCCCGCUGUUUGCCAAUUUGGUAAGCGGCCAAGCGAAAGCGUUAAGCAUCCCACCUGGGG
Molecule: ribosomal RNA, 631 nt
Filed under: uncultured bacterium
Lineage: Bacteria
Description: bacterial SSU rRNA
Rfam family: Bacterial small subunit ribosomal RNA
Source: RNAcentral